RNAcentral lists this long non-coding RNA (341 nucleotides) under Gopherus agassizii (Agassiz's desert tortoise). RNAcentral's name for it is "lncRNA (ENSGAGG00000020404.1)". The record is from RNAcentral. Lineage: Eukaryota; Metazoa; Chordata; Testudines; Testudinidae.
GCUUCUGCAAGCACCAAGGACUAGAGCUGAUGGCCUCCGGUUGCCACUAAAAUCCUUUCAGCUGGAGGAGGAGAUCACAGGAUGAAUGCCAGAGUCACUUCAGUACUGCUCCCUGAUGUCCUUCCCUGCACUCUGUAAUGGUGAAUCCUUCUGCUGGCCAAGAAAAGAAUGAGUCACCCCGGAAUGGAAGAAUGAUGAAUCACCACACGGCCCUCUUCAUGAAUUCCAACAGGAACGUGGAUUUGAAGAUAAUUAUCAUAGGAGCACUGGGGUAAGCAGAAUCCUUCCUACUGGAGUCCAACAGUCCUGAGGGUUUGUUCUCAUGAAGGCUAAAUGAGUCC